This 405-nucleotide unclassified non-coding RNA is filed under the name fungal sp. Its description in RNAcentral is "partial internal transcribed spacer region". The stretch from base 1 to 46 matches the Rfam family "Eukaryotic small subunit ribosomal RNA", at positions 1786 to 1831 of the family's 1831-position model. The record is from RNAcentral. Lineage: Eukaryota; Fungi.
AAGUCGUAACAAGGUUUCCGUAGGUGAACCUGCGGAAGGAUCAUUAACACGUAUCCACGUAACCUACCCAUAGUGAACCCGUUUUCAAGGCUCCCGUCGAGGUACAUGAGUUGGCAACCGAACAGAUUAAUAAAUGGGCCUCUAAAAAGGGCAGGUUUGUUCGUAAAAUACUGAGGUGAAGCUUUUGUUUCAUUUCGACGACUGUAGUACACGACGAUUAACCUAUCACCGACAUUCCCCAUUUUUGAACCACGUGAUAGACAUACUAACUAUAAUCACCCCCUUUUUGCUAGUUGACUUUAUUUAUGUUAAAAUUUGUAGAAGGAUUAAUUUCCCUUUGCAAGUCUUACACGUUUAAUUAUUUAAACGAUAGAACAACUCUUAGCAAUGGAUAUCUUGGUUCUC